AGUUGUAUUUGUUGCUGUGAAACAGAUGCGAAUCUGUCUGCGAGUAGGCUUAAUCCAGCAACCGGCUUUGUUUACAAGACUAGCUCACGCUAGGAGUGGGAUUUAUUGCUACCUAAUGCCAUUGAGAAACUUGAUGUGUCUGUAGAUGAGGCUGAAUCGGCUCUAGCGUGGGCAACAGAUGGCACUGACUUUCAAGCUCUUAUCAACUGGGCAGUUUUGGAAACCUUCCACGUCCCCAAAGUAAACUGGAAGAAGAGGCAGAGGCCAGAGGGACCGAAUGGACAACUCUCAAUUCUGAAACCUUUCAUGCAUGUACCUCAAUUGAAAAGUUUUUGCAGCCUCUGUUGCAUGCAGGCAAGCUGUAUCAUUCUGAUGGUUCUGGACUCCAGAGAAGGGACAUGAUACCACUAUAGAGACCCCGGCAAACUUCACUUGGAUUGGAAAGUGUCCAAACUUUUGACUGGUGCAGUCGAUCAAACUGUGUGUUGCUUAACAUGAUUGAUUUUUGCAAAAAAAGGCAUAUCUAACACAUUCUGCAAUGUAAAAAAAAAAAGGCAUCAAUGAUUUAUGGCAGUCUAAUUAGAGGUUUCAUUUGAACACAGAUUGAGUGUGUUUGUAUUUUAUAAUUCAGUGCAAAGAAAUGAAGGAUAUGUUGUAUGUCACGAUUUUUGUCAAAUUAAAAGUCUAAGCAUGAGAAAAUAUUUAAAUCUAGAUGUUUAUUUAGCCUAUGACUUAUAUUGAUUGUAUAUAAAGCAUUAAUUCACCUUUUAUAUCGUAAUGUGGAAGUAAAUGACAAAUGAUCAUUAAUGAAUUUGUAACAGCUCCAAAGAGCAAAUGCUCACUGUUAACCUAGUUAACAGAAAGACCCAAAUGCAUAAUAAUGCCGGAAUUGCUUUGGCUGAACAUUCAAUACACGGCUCUGAGAAUGCCCAGGUUCGUCUCUCUCCUAGGACAAGAGGAUUGACCAGAGCAGCCAUGUGGAACCUCAAUAUAGUUGCCAUGGCUCCUGUGUAGCAGCCAAAGCCCAGAU
This is a long non-coding RNA of Esox lucius (northern pike), 1030 nucleotides long. RefSeq lists it as uncharacterized. The transcript is spliced from 3 exons. The record is from RefSeq and is a predicted model, not a curated record. NCBI's taxonomy places the organism in Eukaryota, Metazoa, Chordata, Actinopteri, Esociformes, Esocidae.